CCUACGGGAGGCAGCAGUGAGGAAUAUUGGUCAAUGGACGAGCGUCUGAACCAGCCAAGUAGCGUGAAGGAUGACUGCCCUAUGGGUUGUAAACCUCUUUUAUAUGGGAAUAAAACGUUCCACGUGUGGGCUUUUGUAUGUACCCUAUGAAUAAGGAUCGGCUAACUCCGUGCCAGCAGCCGCGGUAAUACGGAGGAUCCGAGCGUUAUCCGGAUUUAUUGGGUUUAAAGGGAGCGUAGGUGGAUUGUCAAGUCAGUUGUGAAAGUUUGCGGCUCAACCGUAAAAUUGCAGUUGAAACUGGCAGUCUUGAGUACAGUAGAGGUGGGCGGAAUGCGUGGUGUAGCGGUGAAAUGCUUAGAUAUCACGAAGAACUCCGAUUGCGAAGGCAGCUCACUGGACUGCAACUGACACUGAGGCUCGAAAGUGUGGGUAUCAAACAGGAUUAGAUACCCCUGUAGUC
Molecule: ribosomal RNA, 460 nt
Filed under: uncultured bacterium
Lineage: Bacteria
Description: partial 16S ribosomal RNA
Rfam family: Bacterial small subunit ribosomal RNA
Source: RNAcentral